GGGAAUUUUGCACAAUGGGCGCAAGCCUGAUGCAGCAACGCCGCGUGAAUGAAGAAGGCCCUUGGGUUGUAAAGUUCUUUCGGCUAGGAAGCAGGGUUCAUGUGAAAAUAUUGCAUGGACUUGACGGUACUAG
RNAcentral lists this ribosomal RNA (133 nucleotides) under uncultured bacterium. RNAcentral describes it as "partial 16S ribosomal RNA". It matches the Rfam family "Bacterial small subunit ribosomal RNA", at positions 357 to 481 of the family's 1533-position model. The record is from RNAcentral.